UGCUGACUAGCGUUAACCCUAAACCGCCUAAUUUCGACUUAGAAAAUCUCGGCUUAACCCCGAGGCCAGCAC
RNAcentral lists this transfer RNA (72 nucleotides) under Hemidactylus mandebensis. Its description in RNAcentral is "tRNA-Arg". Lineage: Eukaryota; Metazoa; Chordata; Lepidosauria; Squamata; Gekkonidae. The record is from RNAcentral.